GUGUCAGCAGCCGCGGUAAUACGUAGGGGGCGAGCGUUGUUCGGAUUUACUGGGCGUAAAGAGCGCGUAGGUGGUUCGAUUAGUCGGAGGUGAAAGCCCUCGGCUUAACCGAGGAUCCGCGUCCGAUACUGUCGAACUUGAGUGCAGGAGAGGAGAGCGGAAUUCCCAGUGUAGCGGUGAAAUGCGUAGAUAUUGGGAGGAACACCGGUGGCGAAGGCGGCUCUCUGGACUGCCACUGACACUGAGGCGCGAAAGCUAGGGGAGCAAACGGGAUUAGAUACCCGCGUAGUCC
Molecule: ribosomal RNA, 292 nt
Filed under: uncultured bacterium
Lineage: Bacteria
Description: partial 16S ribosomal RNA
Rfam family: Bacterial small subunit ribosomal RNA
Source: RNAcentral